GGGGUUCGGCUGACGGCAGGCCCUCCGGCCUUGACCCGGACGGUGGAGGUUCGAGUCUUCCCACCCCCCG
RNAcentral lists this transfer RNA (70 nucleotides) under Singulisphaera sp. Its description in RNAcentral is "tRNA-Gln". The record is from RNAcentral. RNAcentral also lists the same sequence under 1 other name. Lineage: Bacteria; Pseudomonadati; Planctomycetota; Planctomycetia; Isosphaerales; Isosphaeraceae.